UACGGAGGGGGCGAGCGUUAUUCGGAAUCAUUGGGCGUAAAGGGCGCGUAGGCGGCCCCGUAAGUCUUGGGUGAAAGCCCUCGGCUCAACCGAGGAAUUGCCUUGGAUACUGCGGGGCUCGAGGCUGGAAGAGGGCAGUGGAAUUCCCGGUGUAGCGGUGAAAUGCGUAGAUAUCGGAAGGAACAUCAGUGGCGAAGGCGACUUCCUGGACCAAUACUGACGCUCAGGUGCGAAAGCGUGGGGAGCAAACAGG
Molecule: ribosomal RNA, 253 nt
Filed under: uncultured bacterium
Lineage: Bacteria
Description: partial 16S ribosomal RNA
Rfam family: Bacterial small subunit ribosomal RNA
Source: RNAcentral